RNAcentral lists this ribosomal RNA (484 nucleotides) under uncultured bacterium. Its description in RNAcentral is "partial 16S ribosomal RNA". It matches the Rfam family "Bacterial small subunit ribosomal RNA", at positions 30 to 507 of the family's 1533-position model. The record is from RNAcentral.
AUUGAACGCUGGCGGCAGGCCUAACACAUGCAAGUCGAGCGGAUGAAGGGAGCUUGCUCCUGGAUUCAGCGGCGGACGGGUGAGUAAUGCCUAGGAAUCUGCCUGGUCGUGGGGGAUAACGUCCGGAAACGGGCGCUAAUACCGCAUCCGUCCUGAGGGCGAAAGUGGGGGAUCUUCGGACCUCACGCCAUCAGAUGAGCCUAGGUCUGAUUAGCUAGUUUGUGGGGUAACGGCCUACCGAGGCGACGAUCCGUAACUGGUCCGAGAGGAUGAUCAGUCACACUGGAUCAGAGACAGGGCCCCGACUCUGACGGUGGGCCGCGGUGGGGACUCUUGCACGAGGGGCGAAUGCCUGAUCUAGCACUGCCGCGUGUGUGCAGAAGGUCUUCUGACUGUAGAGCACUUAAAGUUUGGAGGAAGUGCAGUACGUUAAUACCUGGCUGUUUUGACGUUACCAACAGAAUAAGCACCGGCUAACUUCGUG